RNAcentral lists this ribosomal RNA (484 nucleotides) under uncultured bacterium. Its description in RNAcentral is "partial 16S ribosomal RNA". It matches the Rfam family "Bacterial small subunit ribosomal RNA", at positions 30 to 507 of the family's 1533-position model. The record is from RNAcentral.
AUUGAACGCUGGCGGCAGGCCUAACACAUGCAAGUCGAGCGGAUGAAGGGAGCUUGCUCCUGGCUUCAGCGGCGGACGGGUGAGUAAUUCCUAGGAAUCUGCCUGGUAUUGGGGGAUAACGUCCGGUAACGGGCGCUAAUACCGCAUACGUCCUGAUGUAGAAAGUGGGGGAUCUUCGGACCUCACGCUAUCAGAUGAGCCUAGGUCGGAUUAGCUAGUUGGUGGGGUAAAGGCCUACCAAGGCGACGAUCCGUAACUGCUCUGAGAGGAUGAUCAGUCACACUGGAACUGAGACACGGUCCAGACUCCUACGGGAGGCAGCAGUGGGGAAUAUUGGGCAAUGGGCGAAAGCCUGAUCGAGCAGUGCCGCGUGAGUGAAGAAGGUCUUCGGAUCGUAAAGCACUGUAAGUUGGGAGGAAGGGCAGUAAGUUAAUACAUGGCUGUUUUGACGUUACCAACAGAAUAAGCACCGGCUAACUUCGUG